Long non-coding RNA from Ictalurus furcatus (blue catfish), 1388 nucleotides. RefSeq lists it as uncharacterized. The record is from RefSeq and is a predicted model, not a curated record. Lineage: Eukaryota; Metazoa; Chordata; Actinopteri; Siluriformes; Ictaluridae. The transcript is spliced from 3 exons.
AAGAAAGCAGUGUGACGGCAGGUGGGCAUCUUCUCAAGUAAAGUGAAUACUUCAAUUAAUGUGAAAGAUGCAUUUUACGGACAGGUGUUAAUUCUAUUCCUGUUUUCAUUGUUUUGACACUCUUUUAAAUAUUCCUAAUAGAUGUUAAUAAUAGUAAGAAAAGAAACUGAGAGUAUUGCAAGGAAAGUAAUUUGUAUACAUUCCUUAUCCUUCAGAAUCCUGUCAGAAAACUGUGCUAACUUAGCUAAGUUUAAAAACAAAAAAAACAACCCAGAGACAUUUAUAUGGAAAAGCCAAUUAACUGAGAUUUCAAAAGAAACCCUGAACAUAACUGUGCUUUAUUUAAUUCAGGACGUUUUAUUUAUAAAUGCAUUAAUGAAUUGGACCAGCAGUGGUUCCGACAGAUUAAUAUGAGCCAGUGGACAGGUACCUGCUUGUUAGCUGGGGCUAUAUUAGCAAAACAGCCUUCUGUUAUUAUGGUGAUUAGGAGCGUUAAUACAAUGUUCCAGUAUGUGUCGCUGUGAGCGUCUAGGUCGCGUUCCGCCACACAUUCGCAGAAAUAGAAGAAGACGUGCGGCAGUUUUGCUGAUUGAUGAGCUGAGCUCUCCGACUCUACUAAUCAUCUUUACAUUCAAAUAUUUCUGACAGAGUUUUACCUCCACAGUUCCAUCUGAUCCGUUGUGGGUGAAUUUGAGGAGGUUAACUGCGUUCUGCUGUAAAGAUCAAGGUAUGAGUCAUUCACUUGCCUCCUAACCUCCACUGUGACAUCAGCCGUUGCGCGUUGGCCAUCUUCAGGUAUACUCACCCACCUGCUCGUUACCUCCCCCAAGUUUUCAGAUUGCGAUGUCAUUUUAGGUUUAUGAUCAGGAUGGCUGGACUGAAAGAAAGAAAAAAAAAAACAGCCAUUUGUGUACAGAUCUCUGAACUUUCUCAGUGUCAUCAUCACCUUUAUUCAUCUCUGGCCAAAUAACGUUUAUUAUAUAAUUUUAUUGAUGGGGAAACUGGAAAGUUAUACAGAAAUACGUUAUUAUAUAAAGUAUUUGUUUUCAAUAUAGGCAAGCUGGAAGAGUAUUGAACCGUCACUGUUGCACUCUAUUAUACUUAUGUAUAGAUAUUUUUUUGUUUCUUUCAGACUGGUGUCACUAACAUUGCUAAUGAUGUCAUUGGAAGAUAUGCAAAAUAUUUAACAAACGCCACGUGCAAAUGUUCCGAGCAGUUGAAUUAUGAGUCUUUAACACGUUACACUGCAGUGGUAUAGGAGUGACCUUGGAGCAAAAGAAAGCAUCAACACUAUCUAAACAGAUCUAAUUGAGUGGUAUCCUGUCAUCUUCUACUGUCCUCUUUCCUACAUGUCUUAUAUUUUCUUCUGCAAGAACAUUAAAAGCUCC